RNAcentral lists this ribosomal RNA (490 nucleotides) under uncultured bacterium. Its description in RNAcentral is "partial 16S ribosomal RNA". It matches the Rfam family "Bacterial small subunit ribosomal RNA", at positions 30 to 507 of the family's 1533-position model. The record is from RNAcentral.
AUUGAACGCUGGCGGCAGGCCUAACACAUGCAAGUCGAACGGUAACAGGAAGCAGCUUGCUGCUUCGCUGACGAGUGGCGGACGGGUGAGUAAUGUCUGGGAAGCUGCCUGAUGGAGGGGGAUAACUACUGGAAACGGUAGCUAAUACCGCAUAAUGUCGCAAGACCAAAGAGGGGGACCUUCGGGCCUCUUGCCAUCGGAUGUGCCCAGAUGGGAUUAGCUUGUUGGUGGGGUAACGGCUCACCAAGGCGACGAUCCCUAGCUGGUCUGAGAGGAUGACCAGCCACACUGGAACUGAGACACGGUCCAGACUCCUACGGGAGGCAGCAGUGGGGAAUAUUGCAGAAUGGGCGCAAGCCUGAUGCAGCCAUGCCGCGUGUAUGAAGAAGGCCUUCGGGUUGUAAAGUACUUUCAGCGGGGAGGAAGGGAGUAAAGUUAAUACCUUUGCUCAUUGACGUUACCCGCAGAAGAAGCACCGGCUAACUCCGUG